CAGACCUCUGAUCAGAGAAGACCACCCGCUGAGUUUAAGCAUAUCAAUAGCCGGGAAGGAA
This 61-nucleotide ribosomal RNA is filed under the name Fissidens dubius. RNAcentral describes it as "partial 26S ribosomal RNA". The record is from RNAcentral. Lineage: Eukaryota; Viridiplantae; Streptophyta; Bryopsida; Dicranales; Fissidentaceae.